RNAcentral lists this transfer RNA (82 nucleotides) under Capitella teleta. Its description in RNAcentral is "tRNA-Ser for anticodon CGA". It matches the Rfam family "tRNA". From Rfam's summary of the family: Transfer RNA (tRNA) molecules are approximately 80 nucleotides in length. Their secondary structure includes four short double-helical elements and three loops (D, anti-codon, and T loops). Further hydrogen bonds mediate the characteristic L-shaped molecular structure. tRNAs have two regions of fundamental functional importance: the anti-codon, which is responsible for specific mRNA codon recognition, and the 3' end, to which the tRNAs corresponding amino acid is attached (by aminoacyl-tRNA synthetases). tRNAs cope with the degeneracy of the genetic code in two manners: having more than one tRNA (with a specific anti-codon) for a particular amino acid; and 'wobble' base-pairing, i.e. permitting non-standard base-pairing at the 3rd anti-codon position. Lineage: Eukaryota; Metazoa; Annelida; Polychaeta; Capitellidae. The record is from Rfam by way of RNAcentral.
GCAGUCGUGGCCGAGUGGUUAAGGCGAUAGACUCGAAAUCUAUUGGGCUCUGCCCGCGCAGGUUCGAAUCCUGCCGACUGCG